RNAcentral lists this ribosomal RNA (468 nucleotides) under uncultured bacterium. RNAcentral's name for it is "partial 16S ribosomal RNA". It matches the Rfam family "Bacterial small subunit ribosomal RNA", at positions 28 to 507 of the family's 1533-position model. The record is from RNAcentral.
GACGAACGCUGGCGGCGUGCUUAACACAUGCAAGUCGAACGGAAAGGCCCUGCUUUUGUGGGGUGCUCGAGUGGCGAACGGGUGAGUAACACGUGAGUAACCUGCCCUUGACUUUGGGAUAACUUCAGGAAACUGGGGCUAAUACCGGAUAGGAGCUCCUGCUGCAUGGUGGGGGUUGGAAAGUUUCGGCGGUUGGGGAUGGACUCGCGGCUUAUCAGAUUGUUGGUGGGGUAGUGGCUUACCAAGGCUUUGACGGGUAGCCGGCCUGAGAGGGUAGCCGGCUACACUGGGACUGAGCUACGGCACAGCCUAGUACGGGAGGAAGCAGUGGGGAAUAUUGCACAAGGGGCGGAAGCAUGAUGCAGCAAAGCAGCGUGGGGGAUGACGGCUUUCGGGUUGUAAAACGCUUUCGCCUGUGACGAAGCGUGAGUGACGGUAAUGGGUAAAGAAGCACCGGCUAACUACGUG